UGGCUGCCCCACAGCACACUUGCACUGAUGUCUCAGAGGUAGAGGUAUGCAAUGUGAAUUCCUUAUUUAUUUAUUUAUUUAUUUAUUUAUUGGAACAAAGGAGUCACUUGGACCCCAGCUGGCUUUCCAGACUAGAUCCAAGGUCAGAGAGGAGGUGGGAAGAUGGGUGAAGAAAGGAAAAAUAAAGAUGGGUACUUUUAAGACAGGAAGUCUGGUGCUUGCUCAGAAGGGAGAAGAUGCUAAUAGGAAGAUGGAAGAUGCUGACAGAUGGAGCAAGAGGAAAAAUAGGGCCGGGGGCAGCUGAAGGAUGUGAGGCAUUGAGCAGAAUGGAUAAAUUUGACGGGCUGGUGCUGGACAAUUUCAUGGUUAGCUGUAGAUAUUUUUAUGGAAGCAGCAUGGCUGGGGAGUGAUUACCUAGUUCUGCACCUAAUUAACACAGUGGUUGUGCUUUUGAAGGGCGUCAGUUGGGAAAACCAACACAUUAAAAGUGCAAGAGGAGAACUGGGGAGGAGGAAGCAGGCAGACGAGAUUUCUGAUGCCAGAUAACCUCAAUUAGAGGAUCCUGAGGCAACUCCUGCCCCACAGGGGCAGGGACACUGUGCCCAACUACAGCAGGGUGUAGGGGGUACAGCUAACUACACAGGAUGCAGUGGGUAUGGGUGACAAAGGACACAGGAAACCUUUCCAGUCACAGGCUUGAUGGGAAGCAGACCUCAUUAUGGUUAAUGAAACACUGGCAUCUCCUCCCUUAGUGCUUGGCCUCUUUCGGACGCCAGCCAAACCGUAUUUUGCAGCUAUUCAACCAUGCAGAAUGUGCUGUUUAGUUUCACGCAUGUUAAGAUCAAGGCAUCAGAGGUUCUCAGGAAGCGGCACUGAUGUUUUUAAACUUAUAAAACAAAUCUAAUUGCUGGCUUUGCAGCCAGUGCGAUCGUUUGGCUGUUUCCUCCUGAGCCCCAAUGUCUAAUUUAAUUGCUGACACGUUUGUAGCUGUGCCUGCUCACGUGCUAGGGCUCUCCCAACUGCACUUACUGUCCCCACUCGACCCGUGAGCAAGUAGCGACCUGAAACACUAACUAAGCCGGUGCUGGUCACACAGGACAUCCCAAGGGCAUCCUGUGCAGGCACAGCUGGGGGAACCCCAAGACCCCUUGCCUACCCGUUCUCAGUGUGAAAACAAAGGAUUUCUUUUUCUUUUUAAAGAUUUAUUUAUUUAUUUGAAAGUCAGAGUUACACAGAGAGAGAGGAGAGAGAGAGAGAGAGAGAGAGAGAGAAAGAGAUUGGUCUUCCAUCUGUUGGUUCACUCCCCAAUCGGCCACAAUGACCGGAGCUGCGCAAAUCUGAAGCCAGGAGCCACAAGCUUCUUCUGGGUCUCCCACGCAGGUGCAGGGACCCAAGGACUUGAGAAAUCUCCACUGCUUUCGCAGGCCAUAGCAGAGAGCUGAAUCGGAAGUGAAGCAGCCGGGUCUUGAACCGGCACCCAUAUGGAUGCCAGCGCUUCAGGCCAGGGCGUUAAUCUGCUUUGUGCGCCACAGUGCCAGCCCAAGGAUUUUUUCCAUAUAAUGAGCUAGAAAGUUGCCAAUGUUUGUCAAAAUUAACCCAUAUUCAUUUAUUGAGGAAAUGUUAAUGUGUUUACUCUGGUGAGAGGUAAAAUAGGCAAACCGAUGUAAUUUAUACAUCUUGAAGUGUUCAGUGUCACCAAAUUCAGAUUUUCUAAAUGCUUAUCUUCAUAAUCACUAUUCAUAUUUCCUUAAAUUACUUAAAUUCUUGAACCUUAAAGAAGAGUUGCCUACUCUAACUGAAAUUAAUUCAGGAUUGAACUUAAAAUUAGAAAAAUAUACUUGUCUCUCCAUUCUUUAGAGCAUGAUUUAAGUUUCUCUGUGGACAACACAAAGAGUUGUUUUUAAUUUGUGUAGACACCACGAAAGUCUACUAGUAAAAUAAUAUCCAUUUUCAUAAACUGAAACACUGUAAUAACAAGCAGGGAAACUUACAGCUUUAAAGGAAGACUUGCACUAUGUGCCUCCAGAAUAUGAGCCCAAAUAAACUCUUUUCCCUUAGAAAGGUAGACA
This 2069-nucleotide long non-coding RNA is filed under the name Oryctolagus cuniculus (rabbit). RNAcentral describes it as "lncRNA (ENSOCUG00000035832.1)". The record is from RNAcentral. Lineage: Eukaryota; Metazoa; Chordata; Mammalia; Lagomorpha; Leporidae.